AGGAUUCUAUUUUGGCAGGUGGGGACUGCUGCUAAACUACCAAUUGAAAUUAAAAAUAAAAAAAUAAAACUAUGUUCUAUUACUAGUAUUAUUGUUGUUGUUGCUGCCAUAAGUGUUAUCUGCAGGAGCUAAUUUACCAAAUAAAGGUGUUUCUUUUGAGGAAAGUUGAUGAUCAAUAAACUAAUUAUGUAGUGCUGAGGCA
This 202-nucleotide unclassified non-coding RNA is filed under the name Hevea brasiliensis (rubber tree). Lineage: Eukaryota; Viridiplantae; Streptophyta; Magnoliopsida; Malpighiales; Euphorbiaceae. The record is from RNAcentral.